This 301-nucleotide ribosomal RNA is filed under the name uncultured bacterium. RNAcentral's name for it is "partial 16S ribosomal RNA". It matches the Rfam family "Bacterial small subunit ribosomal RNA", at positions 509 to 807 of the family's 1533-position model. The record is from RNAcentral.
CAGUCGCCGCGGUAAUACGGAGGGUGCGAGCGUUAAUCGGAAUUACUGGGCGUAAAGCGUACGCAGGCAGUUUGUUAAGUCAGAUGUGAAAUCCCCGAGCUUAACUCGGGAACUGCAUUUGAAACUGGCAGGCUAGAGUCUCGUAGAGGGGGGUAGAAUUCCAGGUGUAGCAGUGAAAUGCGUAGAGAUCUGGAGGAAUACCGGUGGCGAAGGCGGCCCCCUGGACGAAGACUGACGCUCAGGUACGAAAGCGUGGGGAGCAAACAGGAUUAGAUACCCGCGUAGUCCCUGUCUCUUAUAC